RNAcentral lists this ribosomal RNA (456 nucleotides) under uncultured bacterium. RNAcentral describes it as "bacterial SSU rRNA". It matches the Rfam family "Bacterial small subunit ribosomal RNA", at positions 29 to 477 of the family's 1533-position model. The record is from RNAcentral.
AUUGAACGCUGGCGGCGUGCUUAACACAUGCAAGUCGUGCGGUAACAGGCGUAGCAAUACGUGCUGACGAGCGGCGAACGGGUGCGUAAUACAUGGGAAUCUGCCCUUUAGUGGGGAAUAACCCGGCGAAAGCCGGGCUAAUGCCGCAUAAGAUCUUCGGAUGAAAGCGGGGGACCGUAAGGCCUCGCGCUGAUGGAUGAGCCCAUGUCGGAUUAGCUAGUGGUGAGGUAACGGCUCACCAAGGCGACGAUCCGUAGCUGGUCUGAGAGGACGGACCAGCCACACCGGAACUGAGACACGGUCCGGACUCCUACGGGAGGCAGCAGUGGGGAAUAUUGGACAAUGGGGGCAACCCUGAUCCAGCGACGCCGCCGUGGGUGAAGAAGGCCUGCGGGUUGUAAAGCCCUUUCGGUGGGGAAGAAAGUCUCGACCUAAUACGUCGGGACCUUGACGUAA